Molecule: ribosomal RNA, 500 nt
Filed under: uncultured bacterium
Lineage: Bacteria
Description: bacterial SSU rRNA
Rfam family: Bacterial small subunit ribosomal RNA
Source: RNAcentral
CGAACGCUGGCGGCGUGCUUAACACAUGCAAGUCGAACGAGAAUCUGCGGAACGAGGAUUCGUCCAAGUGAAGCAGAGGACAGUGGCGGACGGGUGAGUAACGCGUGAGGAACCUGCCUUCAGAGGGGACAACAGUUGGAAACGACUGCUAAUACCGCAUGACACAUAGAUGUCGCAUGGCAUUUAUGUCAAAGAUUUAUCGCUGAAAGAUGGCCUCGCGUCUGAUUAGCUAGUUGGUGAGGUAAUGGCCCACCAAGGCGACGAUCGGUAGCCGGACUGAGAGGUUGAACGGCCACAUUGGGACUGAGAUACGGCCCAGACUCCUACGGGAGGCAGCAGUGGGGAAUCUUCCGCAAUGGGCGAAAGCCUGACGGAGCAACGCCGCGUGAACGAUGAAGGUCUUAGGAUCGUAAAGUUCUGUUGUUAGGGACGAAGGGCAAGGGUUAUAAUACAGCCUUUGUUUGACGGUACCUAACGAGGAAGCCACGGCUAACUACGUG